AACGCGAAGAACCUUACCAGGACUUGACAUGGGGAGGACGCAGCCAGAAAUAUCCCUUCCCCUUAAAAGGCUGCUGCGGAGGUGCUGCAUGGCUGUCGUCAGCUCGUGUCGUGAGAUGUUGGGUUAAGUCCCGCAACGAGCGCAACCCUUAUCCCUAGUUGCCAUCGGGUCAAGCCGGGCACUCUAGUGAAACCGCUUCGGAUAACGGAGAGGAAGGUGGGGAUGACGUCAAGUCCUCAUGGCCUUUAUGUCCAGGGCUACACACGUGCUACAAUGGCCGGUACAAACCGUCCCAAACCCGCGAGGGGGAGGCAAUCGGAAAAAGCCGGCCUCAGUUCGGAUUGGAGUCUGCAACUCGACUCCAUGAAGCUGGAAUCGCUAGUAAUCGCGGAUCAGAACGCCGCGGUGAAUACGUUCCCGGGCCUUGUACACACCGAGUAUA
RNAcentral lists this ribosomal RNA (442 nucleotides) under uncultured bacterium. RNAcentral describes it as "bacterial SSU rRNA". It matches the Rfam family "Bacterial small subunit ribosomal RNA", at positions 958 to 1398 of the family's 1533-position model. The record is from RNAcentral.